CCCUGGCAACCAGCGAUCUAUUCUUUGUCUGCACUUGUGUCCUUUUGACGAUGUUGUCUGAGUGGAACCUGCCGUCUAUAACCUACGGAGACGGACUUUCCCACCAAACCCUGGAGACGUGUCCAGGCCGUUGUGCAAGCAGGGAUAAAACUGGCAUGGACAUUUGUGUAUGCGUGUGGAUGAACGCCGGCGACGGCAAGUGUUGGGCUCCAUGACACUUUGCACAUGGCAUUUGGGGCUUGGACUAAGGAUCCUCGAGUCCUGCCUGCCAUUCCUCUCAACCUGUUUUUCUCCCAAUGUGUGGUCCUCCCAUCCCUCCCAUCCAUGGCUCCCCGUGUCGUUCUCCUGGAUGGAUCGAUCCUUAGAACGCCUGUGUGUGACUUCCAAGAAGGACCAGAGCAUAGCCUUGCGCCAUGGGCUCCAGAAGUUUAUUCCGUCCCAUUCUGCCUGAUUCCUGACUGGACAUCUGGUAUCUAGCGACCCUCUCCCCUGUGCUGAGUGAGCAAGGCUGUGGUAGAGUAUGCCUUUCUGAAAUACGUGCAUGGAAGAUGCAUUGAUCUUCUAAUGUGGUUGGAUUCACAAUAGAAAUUGUGUGAUUCCUUGGAGGAAGGGUCUAGGUGCCAUUUGUAAAAGGCCUGAUUCCUGAGGUCACGCAGGAAAGCAGCUCGCUCACUCAGAAGCGUGACCCUUAUUG
Lutra lutra (Eurasian river otter) is the source of this 694-nucleotide long non-coding RNA. RefSeq lists it as uncharacterized. NCBI's taxonomy places the organism in Eukaryota, Metazoa, Chordata, Mammalia, Carnivora, Mustelidae. The transcript is spliced from 4 exons. The record is from RefSeq and is a predicted model, not a curated record.